Molecule: ribosomal RNA, 468 nt
Filed under: uncultured bacterium
Lineage: Bacteria
Description: partial 16S ribosomal RNA
Rfam family: Bacterial small subunit ribosomal RNA
Source: RNAcentral
GACGAACGCUGGCGGCGUGCUUAACACAUGCAAGUCGAACGGAAAGGCCCUGCUUUUGUGGGGUGCUCGAGUGGCGAAAGGGUGAGUAACACGUGAGUAACCUGCGCUUGACUUUGGGAUAACUUCAGGAAAAUGGGGCUAAUACCGGAUAGGAGCUCCUGCUGCAUGGUGGGGGUUGGAAAGUUUCGGCGGUUGGGGAUGGACUCGCGGCUUAUCAGCUUGUUGGUGGGGUAGUGGCUUACCAAGGCUUUGACGGGUAGCCGGCCUGAGAGGGUGACCGGCCACAUUGGGACUGAGAUACGGCCCAGACUCCUACGGGAGGCAGCAGUGGGGAAUAUUGCACAAUGGGCGGAAGCCUGAUGCAGCAACGCCGCGUGCGGGAUGACGGCCUUCGGGUUGUAAACCGCUUUCGCCUGUGACGAAGCGUGAGUGACGGUAAUGGGUAAAGAAGCACCGGCUAACUACGUG